UACGUAGGGUGCAAGCGUUAAUCGGAAUUACUGGGCGUAAAGGGUGCGCAGGCGGUUUUUUAAGUCAGCUGUGAAAUACCUGGGCUUAACCUGGGGACUGCAGUUGAGACUGGAAGGCUAGAGUGUGUCAGAGGGGGGUAGAAUUCCACGUGUAGCAGUGAAAUGCGUAGAGAUGUGGAGGAAUACCGAUGGCGAAGGCAGCCCCCUGGGAUAACACUGACGCUCAAGCACGAAAGCGUGGGGAGCAAACAGG
RNAcentral lists this ribosomal RNA (253 nucleotides) under uncultured bacterium. RNAcentral's name for it is "partial 16S ribosomal RNA". It matches the Rfam family "Bacterial small subunit ribosomal RNA", at positions 524 to 776 of the family's 1533-position model. The record is from RNAcentral.